This 3514-nucleotide long non-coding RNA is filed under the name Lactuca sativa (garden lettuce). RNAcentral describes it as "long non-coding RNA (LSAT_LNC002324)". Lineage: Eukaryota; Viridiplantae; Streptophyta; Magnoliopsida; Asterales; Asteraceae. The record is from RNAcentral.
UUUCUAUAAUUAUGCCCAAAUUGAAAACAAAAAUAAGAGAUUCAAUUAAGUUUGGUAGUUGCAAUCAAAGUAUGAAAACCACAACUUAUGAAUUUAUAGCUUGGGGCAAAAGUCUAAAAGUAGAUACAAUUUUAUGGACCUGAUUGCAAAUUGUCAAAAGGUUGAAACUGGAAGCGACUCAUUGAUUGGAAGAUAACGUGAUCAUAAUGUGCAUCUGUUACAUGGGGUUUAAGAUGUCAGAGUAUAUAAUCGUUUCUCUAAUCGAAAAACCCUCCAAAAAACCUUGAAAGAAUUAUGAGAAAUCGAUAAAGAACAAUGGCUAUGGGGGCAGGUCUGAGUUAGCGAAGAUCACGUUGGAAUUCACUGUGUUUUGAGGUAAAAUUUGAAACCAAACUUCGAUUAAUUGAUAUAUUAAAGUUUAUGUGUGUGAAUCUCGUUACAUAGUUCGUGUUCGAUUCAACCAAAAAAUCCAUGGAUUGAUACGUUUAGAGGGUAGUGAAUCCUUGGUUUUGAAUGAAGGAUUUAAUCUUCUGAUUUUGGGAUGAUUUCAUGGAACUGGAAGAGAGAAAUUUGGUUAAGGGAAGAGGUGUUUAAUAUAAUAUUUAUAUGUUUAUCUUACAUGAUCUGAAAGCCCAGAUCAUAGCUUCAAAAUUGGCGUAGUUGCAGAAAAAUCGGGUAUUGGGGGUGAGAUCCAUACCCGGUUUUAAGUCGGGUGUUGGACUAGAUCAGAUCCAGUUGCAGAAUGGGUUAAAGACUGCUUGGGGAUUGGAAAAAUGAAACCAAUUGAUGGUUACACUUUUAUUAGUGGCAUUUUUUUUUCAUCAAACAUAUUCAGAAUUUUAGGUUACAGGCUUACAGCCCCCCGGGGGAUUUUAGUAUUGCUAACUUGUUGCCAUUUUAGAAAAGGGAUAAUUACGAAAAAAAAAUCUUACAUAUAUUUUCAAAAAUUCGGUUUAAUCAUCAGGUUUUAAUAAAUUAUUGAAAACAUCAAUUUUUGGUAAAACAUNUAUAUAUACAUAUAUAUAUAUAUAUAUAUAUAUAUAUGGGAAAAGUGAAUAUAUCCUUAAGAGUAUAUAAGCUUAGGUACCCAAACUCAUAAUAAUACGUCGUUUUGUUUGAUAUAUUCAUUAUAAUAUUGUUAAACUUAAAUCCUUAACUUGAUUUAUAUUCAAUAUUUUUAAAUUUUCAUUAUUAUCUUCCUCUUACAUCACAUCUUUUUGUCGAACACUUACUAGGCUAUAUAUAUUAUUAUUGAAAAUGAUAAUUAUGUAAGAGGAAGAUAAAUAUAAUAUUUAUAAAAAUCUUUGAAGUAAUUUAAGUUAGAAGUUGAAUUAUAAGAACAUUGGACAAUUACAAUGUCUAUAUAUGAUACAAACGAUGUAGUAUUGUGAGUUUGGGUACCUAAGUUUAUAUACCCUUAAGGGUAUAUUCACUUUUCCCUAUAUAUAUAUANNNNNNNNNNNNNNNNNNNNNNNNNNNNNNNNNNNNNNNNNNNNNNNNNNNNNNNNNNNNNNNNNNNNNNNNNNNNNNNNNNNNNNAGAGAGAGAGAGAGAGAGAGAGCUAGGUUCAAAUGUUUCUAACAAUUAUUGUGUUCCUCAAUGCACCAACGAAAAUUUAAAAAAUAAUAAAUAAUUAAAUAAAUCAUUUAAGGGUAAUUUGGACAUUUUAUACUUUUAAUUAAGGGAUCAUUUAAUCGAAUUCCUGCAAUUAACAAAAUAAAAUAAAUAUAUUUGACAUAGUCUUUCUCUCUCUCUCUCUCUCUCUCUCUCUCUCUCUCUCUCUCUCUCUCUUUCUCUUAUAUUAUUCUUUUUCACCUACAGGUAGAUCGACAAAAGGACUCACGUCGCAUGCCUUCUUAUUCUCUCUGCCGGUUAUCAUUGUUAUCGAUCUAAGGAGGCUGAACAUGGAGGAUUUUCAACCAAAGAACGCUAGGGUUUAUCAAUCAUCGAUUUUCAGUUUGCAGCUGCAAUUAGGGUUUAUCAAUCAUCGAUUUUCACCAUCAUCAUCAUCGAUCUCCAUCUUUAGCCUCCUAUUACCAUUGCCAACCGCCUUAUCAUCAUAUUCAAACGUAAUUGAUGUUGGUGAUCUUUUUUAUUAGCGAUUCAAUGUAUAAGAAAACCUAACUGGGGAUGAAUACAAUCAUACACGCAUAAUUAGAGGUGGCAAAAAUUGACCCGACACGAAAUAAACGAGUUUGGGUACGAUAUUUCAACCCGUUUAAAUAAACGGGUUGACUCGACACGACACGAAAAUUAAAUGGGUAAGGUUAGGGUUGAGAAUUUCAACUCGAAUAUAACUCGAAAAUGACCCGUUUAUUUAUAUGCAAGUUUUUUGAAUUAUUUAAAUAAACUAGAAAGAUACAAAACCAAAAGCAUAAGUAAAAGAAAACCUUCGAAUUGAAUUGUUUUGUAAUGUUGAAAUAACUUAGUCGUCUAGAUCAAGAUUUCAUUUCAGUUUUUCCAUUCUCUCCCAGAUUACCCACUCUCUUUCACCACUCUCACAUCCUCAUGACCUUAUCAUCUGCCUCCCCAACUCCCACUCUUUUAAUUUUUUCAUCUAAACUUGCUAUGACUUCAUCUAUUCUGCCUCAAAACAAUUAGUUUUUCAUUUCCGCCUACCAAACUCCUACUCUUUCAACAUGCUCAAUCUUUUAACCUCACAUGACACGACAUAUUUCAAGGUAUAGCCCUAACCCGAAACCCGACACGAACUCGACACGAAAAUAAAUGGGUUGACACGACACGACACGUUAAUUAAAUGGGCCGGGUUAGGGUCAAUCACUUUCAACCCGUUUAGUGUUUCGACACGACACGAACCCGACCCAACACGACACGAUUGCCACCUCUACGCAUAAUAGGUAAUUAAUGAAUUUCAUUCAUAUUUUUUUUGCCCGUUACAUCUUUAUUAUUCAUCUUCCUACACCAGCAUCACCUUCAUCACCAUUUUCUGCCACUAUUCUAUUUUAUCUGGUAAACAUAUUCUUAAAACAUCAUACACUCAUCCUCUCUACUUCUAAUCAGAGAUAAUCAUAUUCUUAUAUCAUUUUUAGCGAAAUUUUGAUAUGUAAUUAGGUAAUGAUGUUCAAGGCAUCUUUAUUUUUAAUUUCAUUUGAUGUUGGUAUAUUUAGUACAAAGCGUGAUGGUUUGUGUUUAUCCUAAAGGUGUUUGACGAAAUGUCUAGUAGAAAAGAUGUAGGUGGAUUUCAUUUUUUGUCACAAUAUUUUUGGUUUAAAAAAGAUGUAAUGGCAUAGAAAUCUUGAUAUAAAUGGUUGGUUAAUAUUUUUUCUUAGGAAAUACAUUCAUUAUUCUUUUUUUAUUUCGUGAUGCAUCUUUAGUGGUAAUACAUAAAUGCAAUAUAAAAUAGCAAAUUCAAAAGGUUUUUAAAUGACACCAUGAAUACCUUAUGCUUGAAGAUCUUUUCAUGCUUAGAAUAUUUUGAUGUCUUUCUAACACCUUCCAGGUUAGUGAUAAUUUUUAUAUAACUAAAAUAGAGAAGAAGAUGAUUAAAACAUUGA